Molecule: long non-coding RNA, 1987 nt
Filed under: Homo sapiens (human)
Lineage: Eukaryota; Metazoa; Chordata; Mammalia; Primates; Hominidae
Description: non-protein coding SCOC-AS1:4
Source: RNAcentral
AGGUCUAUCAGGAAACCUGAGAAUUGGAGUGAGAAUCCCAGUGUGGAAAAUCAGGAAAGAGGCUGGUAUGAGCGACAGAGAAGUCAUUCAGGAAAGAGGUUAUUGAAUUCAUUGGAGAAUGAAUGCUGUUCUGAAUUUGUUUACCUCAACAAAUAGCUUACACCUCCAAUCCUGUCUUGGCGUGCCCUGCUCAGAAGACACAAGACACACCAGGAGUGACGUGAGGAAACAGGCAGUAAAGAUAAGCCUUUGCGACUGGGUUACUCAGACCCUCCCUGACAAGGAGGAGCCCAUCUUGAGUGUCCCAGGAGACCUGGACCUUGUGGACAUCCUGCAGAAUGGCAUAUGGAUCCAUUACAAUGAUGACAUCAUGCUGACUGGGCAAGAUGACAAGAGGUUGCUAUACACCAGAGGGCUUGGGAAGACACAUGCCCUGCAGAAGAAAAACCUGCUCCUGAUUACAAGGAUAUGUCGAUUGCAGGGAGGCAGAGGAAGAAAUACAACAGGAUGUCUAUCGAACACAACUUUGGAGUAAGACCUUGGGACCCAACUCCUGUUUGCUUCAUAUACAAGCUUUGAGACGUGAUGAGUUUGCCUCGAUUCUCUAAGCCUCAGUUUCCUCAUCUGUUGUUGUGAGGGAAAUAAUGCAUGGAAAGCUUUUAACACAAUGGCUGGCACACAGUGAAAGUGCAAGACGUUAACCAUUAUCAUGAGAGUUUUCAAUUGGAAUGAAUAGGAGACUUAAAUUUGCAUGAUUGUACUUUUACACUAAGCCAUUAAUGAUGCAUUCAUUUAGUUUUCUACUCCCAAAGAACAUAGAUUUGAUUAAUUAUAACAAGAAUUUAAAAAUAUUUCCAUUAUUCAGAAAUAACCUACAGAGUCUAAGCCUGUCCUUUCCUUCCUCCCUUUUUCCCAAUCUUUUUUUUUUUUUUUUUUUUUUGAAAGAAAUAGCAAUUAUGUAGUCAGAUUCACUGGCUCUUUCUUCUUCUCCCUGGUAACAGGCUAAGUCUUAACCUUGAUUAGGCAGCAUCGCAUCUGAUCUAAGUUCUUCCCAGCUUUCAGCCCAGCCUGCUUCCCCAGGCUUCAGAGCGCAGCUCUGCACCACCCUCUCCACCCCUGCUUAGCAUCAGAACAUUGCCAAAGCUAAGCAUCUAUGCAAUGUUUCUUUUGAAUAGUUGUCUACCUACUUGGAUAUUUUUUUCCUUCUCCCAGAGGCAAAAAUUGGACCACUUAAUCUAUGCUGUAGGACAGUCUUGCCCCUCAGAAAAUACUUGAGCAUAUUAAGUUGUUAUGAAAUGGAUCUGAGAAGCAGAGUUCUGAACCAUGCCCGUGAAUUUCCCAGCCUCAUCACACUGGCAUUCUUUCAUAGCCCCGAAAUACUUUCCACUUGCCCUUCCUAUGAAUGCAAGUAAAGCAAAGCCUCUUGACAAAGCAAAUUAAGAGUAAUCAAUGGUUUGGGUUUUUUUUUUAAUUAUUAUUUCCUGUGACUCAAAUCAAACCUAUUUCUCAACUGUAACGUACGAAAAGAGAGAGAUCAAGUUGACAUUUAGGAAAAUUGAACAUUGAUAAGUAAAUUGCCUUCACUCAGUCUCUUAGGUCCUCUCUCCUUUCCCCCUACCCCACGACACCCCGUGGCCCUGCUCUCUCUCACACACACAGCUGAAGGUAUCUUUAAAGGGUACCUAUUUCCUGCAGAUCACGCUUAUGUUAAUCUCACUUCAAGUACAGAUGCACCGAGGACAUUACAGGGUCAGUCAUUCUUAUCCACAAAGCUUUAGAUUCCACUACAUUAUUCAAACUGGACAAUGGACUUCCCCAUUUUGUGCCCAGACUUGCUCACUAAUAGAGUGACCUCCUUGUUAUGGGUGAGGAUAUAUUUGAUGCUAAAACUGCUACAAAUUUUUAUCAGCAUUUAAUCUUGAGACUGUGAAUUACUACAUCCUGCAUGUGUUGGUACCUUACUUUGAUUAAAAAUGGGAUAAAUCAA